RNAcentral lists this ribosomal RNA (375 nucleotides) under uncultured organism. RNAcentral describes it as "bacterial SSU rRNA". It matches the Rfam family "Archaeal small subunit ribosomal RNA", at positions 476 to 851 of the family's 1478-position model. The record is from RNAcentral.
CCAGCACCCCGAGUGGUCGGGACGAUUAUUGGGCCUAAAGCAUCCGUAGCCGGUUUUACAAGUCCUCCGUUAAAUCCAACUGCUUAACAGAUGGGCCGCGGAGGUUACUAUAAGACUAGGAGGCAGGAGAGGCAAGCGGUACUCAGUGGGUAGGGGUAAAAUCCGUUGAUCCAUUGAAGACCACCAGUGGCGAAGGCGGCUUGCCAGAAUGCGCUCGACGGUGAGGGAUGAAAGCUGGGGGAGCAAACCGGAUUAGAUACCCGGGUAGUCCCAGCUGUAAACGAUGCAGACUCGGUGAUGGACUAGCUUUAUGCUAGUCCAGUGCCGCAGGGAAGCCGUUAAGUCUGCCGCCUGGGUAGUACGGUCGCAAGACUG